RNAcentral lists this small RNA (1001 nucleotides) under Pan troglodytes (chimpanzee). Its description in RNAcentral is "processed transcript". Lineage: Eukaryota; Metazoa; Chordata; Mammalia; Primates; Hominidae. The record is from RNAcentral.
CUCAGUCAAGGCUAAUGCUUUUGGAAUCAGUGUUAAUAUUUUUCAAUCUAUUGGCCGUGUUGUCCUACCUGAAGUUCUUCAACUGCCAAAAGCACAGCCCUUUUUCUCUGAGCUGGUGGUUCUGGCUAACACUGACAGGGGUCGCUUGUUCCUGUGCAGUGGGCAUCAAGUACAUGGGUGUGUUCACGUACGUGCUCGUGCUGGGUGUUGCAGCUGUCCAUGCCUGGCACCUGAUUGGAGACCAGACUUUGUCCAAUGUAGGUGCUGAUGUCCAGUGCUGCAUGAGGCCGGCCUGUAUGGGGCAGAUGCGGAUGUCACAGGGGGUACUUGGUGAAAAGACUGCAAUCCUCAAUGUUUUAGAAGCAGGCAGGCCUGGGCAGCCUCGCCUCUUGGCCUCUGCAGGUGCCUCUGUAUGGGAGGCCAGAGUUUCUGUCAUUAACUUUUUCUAAGCUCACAAUGUCUAGAGGUGGGUGCGCUUUUCCACGCAGUGGAACAUGACUUUUCUUUGAAUCUCUGGCAGGUCUGUGUGUUCUGUCACUUGCUCGCCCGAGCAGUGGCUUUGCUGGUCAUCCCGGUCGUCCUGUACUUACUGUUCUUCUACGUCCACUUGAUUCUAGUCUUCCGCUCUGGGCCCCACGACCAAAUCAUGUCCAGUGCCUUCCAGGCCAGCUUAGAGGGAGGACUAGCUCGGAUCACCCAGGGUCAGCCACUGGAGGUGGCCUUCGGGUCCCAGGUCACUCUGAGGAACGUCUUUGGGAAACCUGUGCCCUGCUGGCUUCAUUCCCACCAGGACACCUACCCCAUGAUGUAAGAUAUGAGAACGGCCGAGGCAGCUCCCACCAGCAACAGGUGACCUGUUACCCCUUCAAAGACGUCAAUAACUGGUGGAUUGUAAAGGAUCCCAGGAGGCACCAGCUGGUGGUGAGCAGCCCUCCGAGACCUGUGAGGCACGGGGACAUGGUGCAGCUGGUCCACGGCAUGACCACCCGCUCCCUGAACAC